GACGAACGCUGGCGGCGUGCCUAAUACAUGCAAGUUGAGCGCUGAAGGUUGGUACUUGUACCAACUGGAUGAGCAGCGAACGGGUGAGUAACGCGUGGGGAAUCUGCCUUUGAGCGGGGGACAACAUUUGGAAACGAAUGCUAAUACCGCAUAAAAACUUUAAACACAAGUUUUAAGUUUGAAAGAUGCAAUUGCAUCACUCAAAGAUGAUCCCGCGUUGUAUUAGCUAGUUGGUGAGGUAAAGGCUCACCAAGGCGAUGAUACAUAGCCGACCUGAGAGGGUGAUCGGCCACAUUGGGACUGAGACACGGCCCAAACUCCUACGGGAGGCAGCAGUAGGGAAUCUUCGGCAAUAGACGAAAGUCUGACCGAGCAACGCCGCGGGAGUGAAGAAGGUUGUCGGAUCGUAAAACUCUGUUGGUAGAGAAGAACGUUGGUGAGAGUGGAAAGCUCAUCAAGUGACGGUAACUACCCAGAAAGGGACGGCUAACUACGUG
Molecule: ribosomal RNA, 497 nt
Filed under: uncultured bacterium
Lineage: Bacteria
Description: partial 16S ribosomal RNA
Rfam family: Bacterial small subunit ribosomal RNA
Source: RNAcentral